GCUAAUAACAUCAGCAAGAUCCAGGGAAAUAUGGCACCUGGUUUCAAAACAAAUUUUCAGCCUACUUUUUCCAUUCUCAGCUACAAAAAAAAAUUUCUACCUCUUCAGUCCUCUCAUGACUGACAAGAUGUCCCCCAUGAAGUUCUACCAUUCGGGCAGAAGGAUACAAUUUCUCAGCAAUCCUCUUUGCAUGGCAUAAUUGAGCAAUGACAUCAUGUCUGAACCAUCAAAAGACUACUCAGUUUUGCUAAGUAGAGAUCUUUCAGGUAACAAUCAUGCACCAUGAACAACACACUGGUUGAUAAUCACGCAAUCGUUUACAGCAAGUCAACAAAAGCCAUUGGUUGGUCGCAAAGCCUGCCAACUUGCUGAAGUUGUAUCUUAAAUGCACUGCAAUACAUCUUAAG
This is a non-coding RNA of Coffea arabica (coffee), 407 nucleotides long. NCBI's taxonomy places the organism in Eukaryota, Viridiplantae, Streptophyta, Magnoliopsida, Gentianales, Rubiaceae. The record is from RefSeq and is a predicted model, not a curated record.